UACGUAGGGUGCAAGCGUUGUCCGGAAGUAUUGGGCGUAAAGAGCUCGUAGGCGGUCUGUCGCGUCGGCUGUGAAAACCCGAGGCUCAACCUCGGGCCUGCAGUCGAUACGGGCAAACUGGAGUGUUGCAGGGGAGACUGGAAUUCCUGGUGUAGCGGUGAAAUGCGCAGAUAUCAGGAGGAACACCGGUGGCGAAGGCGGGUCUCUGGGCAACAACUGACGCUGAGGAGCGAAAGCGUGGGGAGCGAACAGG
This 253-nucleotide ribosomal RNA is filed under the name uncultured bacterium. Its description in RNAcentral is "partial 16S ribosomal RNA". It matches the Rfam family "Bacterial small subunit ribosomal RNA", at positions 524 to 776 of the family's 1533-position model. The record is from RNAcentral.